CCCUCUGAAAGAGUCCAGAUAUGAGGUCUGGAAAUGGACUGAAGUUGAACAAAUGCUCUCAGUUUCUGCAAUAACAAACAUUUGGUUCUAGUAACUCCAUGCCUAUCCGAAUCCUCCACAUUCACUUUCAGCGAUGCAAAGUUGUUCUGUUCCUUAAGAACCGAUGCUUGAGUUUCCACAACUAUUGUGCAUUUUCUGCCUUUUUGGGCUUGUCUACAUUACCCACAGGAUCAACCGGCAGCAAUCAAUCCACCAGGGGUCAUCUAGUCUAGACAUGAUAAAUCGACUGCCAAUUAAUAAAUGAUAAAUUGACUCAGGCACUCCACCGGAGCGAGAGGCGUAGACGGAGUUGACGGGGGAGCGUCAGCAGUCGACUCACCACAGUGAAGACACUGCGGAGGUAGAGGAAGGAAGUAAUCUGCACCAGUCCAAAUGCAAUAUGGCCUAAUAACUAGAGCACUGGACUAGGACUCAGAAAAGGCAACAUGGGCUCCGAAGACAGAGCAGUGAGUGCAGGAGACCUGGGUUCCAGUCCAUGCUCGAUCGCUACUGACCUACAUGUCACCUUCGGACCAUCAGCAUUCUGGCCCAUCUGCUCCACUUUCUGCAUGGAGACUGAUGAUAGCCUGGCAGUGAGGCUCCCAGCAUCAACUACCGAAAGGAAUUAAAUCUUAUGUCAGCCCCCCAAAACCUUGGCAGUGCACAGAUGACACUAUUAGCAGGCCCAGAAGAGGUGACUGAACACCAACACUUGAUGGCUGCUGCUGGUUAGCUCUGCGUGCUCUGAUUCCAAAGUGAUGGGCAUGAUAUAAAAGCUUAGCCAGCCAGAAGCUUGCACUGUUGCGGUCUAUGCUGUCUCAUGCGAUGGGGUCUGCCAGAGGACUCCUUCAGGGCUGCCAAUCUGGCAUCUUUCACAAGCACCAAAUUCAUACCAAGAAAACAAUGCAAUGAAAUGUAAAGGAAUAAACCAGAGCAGUUACAGGAAACCUUUUCAACUGCAGUUCCAGGAAAAACCUUGUUUAUAAGGGUGUAUACACAAGCAUUCUGGUAGAGGCUGAUCGUUAUUUUCUGGCCCCAAUCACAUGACAUGGGUCUGGGUUACCAAAGGUGAUCCCCUAACUCUCUUGGCUACUGUCACUGCGAUGCUUCCCAGAGUUACCCAGGGUGGGAGACACCUCACUCCCCCUGCCCUUAGCAUAAGAAAGCCUGUGCUUGCCAUGGGUCAGCUCCCCAACUUCACCGGUUCCUAGCAACACAAGCACUCCCCUGUAGGUCUACGCAGGGCCCGCGCGAUGCUGUGAUUCUGCAGGUUAGCCAGAGGCACAUUCCAACCCCUGAACCCUCCCAGCAUCUCCCUGGAUACCCAGCCCCUGUUCCACUGGCCAUUCGCAGUAUUCACACAUUCGCUGCUCCCAAAGGAACAGUACAGCCCAGCUUACCUCCUACACUUUAGAUCAC
Mauremys mutica (yellowpond turtle) is the source of this 1458-nucleotide long non-coding RNA. RefSeq lists it as uncharacterized. The record is from RefSeq and is a predicted model, not a curated record. The transcript is spliced from 4 exons. NCBI's taxonomy places the organism in Eukaryota, Metazoa, Chordata, Testudines, Geoemydidae.